Small nuclear RNA from Grammomys surdaster, 112 nucleotides. The record is from RefSeq and is a predicted model, not a curated record. NCBI's taxonomy places the organism in Eukaryota, Metazoa, Chordata, Mammalia, Rodentia, Muridae.
CUGCUUCAUCCAACAGCACAGCACAUAUUUUAAAAUUGGAAUGAUACAGAGAUUAAUUAUAUGGCCUUUGUACAAGGAUGACAUGCCAGUUCAAGCAGAAAAUAAACUGCUU